This 253-nucleotide ribosomal RNA is filed under the name uncultured bacterium. RNAcentral's name for it is "partial 16S ribosomal RNA". It matches the Rfam family "Bacterial small subunit ribosomal RNA", at positions 524 to 776 of the family's 1533-position model. The record is from RNAcentral.
UACGUAGGCAGCAAGCGUUGUUCGGAGCUACUGGGCGUAAAGGGUGCGUAGGUGGCUCUAUAAGUAUGGUGUGAAAUCUCCCGGCUUAACUGGGAGGGUGCGCCGUAGACUGUGGGGCUAGAGUGUGGGAGAGGAAAGUGGAAUUCCUGGUGUAGCGGUGAAAUGCGUAGAUAUCAGGAGGAACACCGGUGGUGUAAACGGCUUUCUGGACCAUAACUGACACUGAGGCACGAAAGCGUGGGUAGCAAACAGG